Long non-coding RNA from Catharus ustulatus (Swainson's thrush), 9245 nucleotides. RefSeq lists it as uncharacterized. The transcript is spliced from 9 exons. Lineage: Eukaryota; Metazoa; Chordata; Aves; Passeriformes; Turdidae. The record is from RefSeq and is a predicted model, not a curated record.
CGCCGCCCGCCGCGGGCAGCAGCGCCGUGAGGGGCUGCCCCGUUCCCAGGCCCUGCCGUUACCUGGGAGAGCCGGGGGUUCUGAUGUCUGCCAGGUGGCAUCCCAGGUGGGAUGGGAUCUGUGGACAUGUAUUUCAGGUAGCCAUCAGCAGCACCAAGGAAAGAGCCACUCCCAUGAGCGAUAUAAUUUCACAAAUCCACAAAACAAACAAGUCGCCAUUCUGCAAAACCCUCAUACCUAUGGAAUGCUCAUUUCCUGCGAGGUGUGGAUUUCAGCUAUUUUUAACCUGGAUGUGUUCUGUGAUUUGUUUCCCACACAGCACAGAAACUGGCACAGCUGAGGGGUAGGCAGCGAUGAAGUUGCACCAGGAAGUCCAAGGAGAAUCAGGAGACACUUCAGGGCUUUGAGACAAUUGAUUAAGGGAUCUGGACCACAGGUUCAUCAUAGCCACCACAAUACUGCUGCUGCGGAGCUCCCCAGAAUGUCUGGCCCUCUCAGUACCUGGCACAGUGAGCAGAGGUUGUAGGGCUGCUGUCUGCCGGGCAGGAAAGGGCAUAGCUUUAAUUCCUGUUGGCUCAGUCACAUUAGCUCAACAUGACUGAAAAUUCCUCUUCACCUCUUGAAACACAAAAGUGAAUGUGGCUCUACACUGGAAUCUUCCACCCUUGUAAUCUCCUGUCAUGCAAUAUUUUAAAUUCUUAUUUGACUGAUGCUGAAGAUGGAGAGUAUUAGUUACCUUCCAUGACCACUCUGGCCACAAUGACUUCCUUUGCUUGGCAAGCUGAUUACUUUGACAAGGUUAAUGUUAAGUCUAUCUGGAGUAUCUCUGUGUGUCUUGUGCAAGAUUGCAGCUGCAAGCUGGUUUCUUAUUGAACAUGCAGUUUCUCCAGAGACAGAAUAUAUCUUUGAAGGGAUAUUUCCCCCCCACUUUUUCCUCCUGAGAAUGAUGUUGCUGCAGUUUAUACCAAUAAGAUUUAGAUGGCUGUAUCUCUGAAUUUGACAAGCUAGUGGAUGGCAAGCAAACCCAACUGAUGAAAUUCCAUUGAUAAAGAAAAUUCUCAUCCUAGCAACUACCUAGAAAAGUCCACAAGUAGAGAUUAAGAGUUAAUAACUGCUGCACCAAGUCUGCCAAAGCUGCUGGGGAUGUGACCAACAGACACUUCUGUGGAGCCAAAGAAUCACUGAAGUGUCUGCUCCCUGCUGCCCUUCAUCAGCAGGUUUGGAAGAGCAGCAUCUCAAGAGAGCGAUGGGGCAGAUGGACUCCCCAAAGUACCAGUUACAGGCAGUAGGGACCAGUCAGGGGCUCUUGUGACAGCGUUGCAAAACCUGGCUUAGCACUACAUAGACUCAUUAAAGUAGGAAAGAAACUUCCAGUCAGUUGUCACUGGGGUUGGUGUCUCAGGUUGCCGCUGGUAUGAGAGUCCCUAGCCCCGCUUCACAGAGCCAGUGCAUGGGGCAGGAUCCAGGUGUAUAUCUGCUCGCCAAAGGGGCUGUAGGCAGAAUCAAACUUUGCCAUGCACAAGCCACCUCCAGAGACCGUCAAAUGUUCAUAUCCUGUAUGAUCCCUAAAAGAGGCCAGACAGCAACUGCAGCAGGGAAGCUGUAACAUAAAUAGUGCCUUCAGAUUGCACACUGGAUAUAGUUGAGACACAAUAGCAAAAGUCAAGUAAAUGAAAUGUAUUUCUUAGCAGUCCCUGAGAGUGAACAGGUUGUGUUUGUGAGCUGCAAGCCACGUCAAGUGGGGUGGAUCUUCCACAGAGAAAUUGCUGCCUCUGGCAAGAAAAUAUCCUUGUAAGAAGGUAAGAAAAACAUCCACAUUUCUCUUAAUUCUUUCUAGAUGGUACAUUAUGAGCAACUAUAGAUAUUAAGAGUUCAGGGAACAUUACUAAGCAACACAAAGAACAGAAAACUGUGUGUAUUUUCUGAGAAGAUUGGGGGGAAAGUCUUGUGCCACUGAAUGAUUUGGGAAUAAGCAUAAUAAAAAUAAGUCCUAAUAGCUGCAGUAGCCAAAUGUCACCUGGGACCAGCGUGCGAACAAUUAUUUUGUAAUAUUAUUUGGUGAAUGUCUCAACAUCUUGAGGUCAUUGCAGCAUAGAAAAGAAAAGGUUGGCCAGUGUUGUUUCCUGGUGGAACAUUUAUUUCUCUAACCCUGUGUGGUGGUAUCUGGCCAUCUUGGAUAGGUGAGGGGUCAGGUCAAAGGAAAGCAAGGUGUAGACAUGGUUUUCAAAGGCACCUAUUUCCAGUGGGUGUGAACCUCAUUUACUGUUAGGAAUAAAUCUUUUCCUGGCAUAUUGUAACAGAAACAGUAAAAUAAACAAAAGUAUGAUAUACUUUGUAAGAUGAGGCAAGCAUUUGUAAGAGGUACCUUUGUUAGAUGUACCUCAGGGCUACACUGCCCACAGGCAAACCAGCUCUGGGUGCUGUGUGAGCACUGAGAACAAAUGCUGGGCUGCUCUCUUCUCAAGCAGAUGCUGUCCUGAGGAUUCUCUCCUCACAGGAGGAAGAAUAAAAAGCAGCUUUUACCAUCCAAGUGCAUGACAUUCCUGCUUCUCCUGGGUAGAAAAGAAAGGGAGUCCUUUUCCCCUCUGCCUGCGAGGGAAGGAAGCACUGACUAUUGGUGUGAGGGGCAAGGAGCUGUCUCAGGGCAGAGCUUGUUCUCCACAGGGAGCUGCCCCAGCCAUUCCCUGCCCCAGCCCAGGAUGCGGGGAUGCCCUGGCCUGCCCCUCCCAGGCUCCCCCUCUACUCUGUAGCUCCGAGCUCUGCCACUUUCCAUCCUUGGAAAGGCAGAGGCGGGGGAGCAGGCUCCCAGCAGCUCCAGAGGAGCAGAGGGUCUCCAUCGGGGCUCUCUCCUUGUAGGAGAUGAAGACAUCACUGCCGUAAGGGCUGCAGGCAGGAGCAGCCCCCAGCCUCCCCCUGCAGCCGGCAGCGCUCUGCUUUUCCCCGUGUUUAUUGUCUGACGUCUGUUUUGCUGUGUCUCCCUGCAGGCGGGGAGCCAGGAGGGCUGGCUCUCGGGACACCUCCUCCUGGUGGGCUGCCAAGGACGGUGGCAGAGCCCUCCCGCCCAGGGCGGUGGCCCCGGGCUCACGGCACCGUUCGCUGCUCGCCCGAGCCUCCCUGCCAGCACAGACCUACUUCUGCCGCAGAGCCAAGGCUGGCGGCUUCGAAAAAAAUCACAGCUCCAUUGUGCUCCAAAGUCAUACUGAAUGAUUCAGAUGAAAAGAAAAACCCACGUCAGAAGGAACAGGGGACUCAAAGACGAGUGUCGAGGCCAGCAGUCCAGGGACAUCGAUCCCAGGCAGCGGCACAUCCUGAGAAUGUUGCACCCUGUGACAGCAGCAGCUCUGUCCUGUGGGUCUGUGGAAGACAAGUAUUAGGGGUCCCGGUAUUAGGGGUGUCCCCACCUGGCCCAUCGAUUGCCUGGGGGUGGUGGGGCAGCAGGACAAGCCUCCUGUCCAGCUGUGGGGCACAGAUCCAGCCCCCAGCAGCUGGGGGAGGUGAACUCCCUCCUUGCUCCCGGAGCUGCCAGCGCUGGAGGUCAGGCAGGGCAGGAGGAAGGGGCAGGGAGCGCUGACAGAGACAGUGUUGCCAUCACCCAACAUCUGGUGCCAAUGCUCCCCAAAAAUAGAUCACUUCCUUCUUCCACCUCGAAGGAAACAGUGUUGGAAGGAGUCUCAGAUACAGCAGGGCUGGUGCAAGGAGGGGUCUCGUUCCCUGGCAGCCUCCCACCGGGAGCCGCUUCCACAUCCCGGGGUGUGACUCUGGGACCACACAUCAGUCUCAGGCAGGUUCCAAGGGAUUAGUCCUGCGAAACGCCCCGAUGACCCACGUGGGUGCCGAGCCUCUCAGCUCCCUGGAGCAGAAACCCACCAGCACUUUCCAUCGGUGGCUGGUAUUGCAAAACCAGCCCCUCUGUACCCAAAAGCUGCGCCAGUGCCAAGGGGCUCAGGCUGUGAUCUGCCCUCACCUGCGUUUUCCAGUUCCAUUUUUACAUUACAGAGCUGCUUCACAGCAUCUUCCUUAUUGGCAGGCGUCAGGAGAAAUGUGUGUCAACAAAUCUGAAGCGAGCGUAAGCUCUGCUACAGUCAAGUCUGAUUAUAAAACAUGAGUCACUGUUAUUCAAUCACUUACCAGCGCACGGCUUGCAAGAAAGUUCUCUCUUCUAGGAAUCACCACCACACAAAUUUCAGAGUUGUUUUAAAGAACACCCUGAUUUUCCUUUUAACUGCGUGGCUGUUUUCAGAGGGCUGGCUCCUGCUAUCCCUACUUGGCCCCUGCUCCCUCUGCAUUUCAGAGCCAGGUGAGGCACCCAGCCCAGGCAUGACCUGAUGAUCCUCCCAGCAGUUUUCAGCACCAGGAGUGAACAGGCAGUAAGGAGGGGGCUGCUGGGACUGCCCCCCACAGUUGCCAUCAGUGCCCCCCACACCAUCUGUAGGGCUGCUGGCCAAUGUUCAGGGGAUGCACAUUUUUCCCCUCGGCUGGGAUGAGGAAGAGUGUGGUCAACCCCAGCAUUUUGGCAAGGGAGACUUUUUCCCAUAUAAAGGUAUUAUUUUCAUUGUUUUCUUACAUUUCAGUUUGGGAAGGAGCAGGAGGGGUCAGGGAUGUCUUCCCAGACAUUUCUUCAAAACUGUUUUUAUCCCUGGUAACAAAUGCCACUGCCAAACACAGCAGCACACGUCCUCGGUUUCCCCUCCGUAAGUCUGAUUUUUUGAAUGGCUUCUUGGAAAAAGCAUUUACAUGGUGACCUCUUGCUGCUGUAAGAUGUGCAGGGAGAUGGGUCCUUUCCAGGCAUUCAAGCUGCAGUGCUUGGUCUUUUCCUGUUUUUACUGAGGAACUUUUGGGAGGUCAGAAAUACAUGAAUUGAGCUUUUGCUGCCUUAAUAGGUGAAAGGCUGCUGGAAGCACGUGGAUAAACUUCCUCUGUGCCAAAUGACCAUCAUUUAAGUCAAACACUUUUUAACAAUAGAAGCAAAAUUUUAAAAGGUGUAGUUAGAAAAACCCCCACAUUUGCCUGUCUGUCCUCCUUGUUCUGUGCUGCUCUGCCUCUUGCUGCUUAGCUUGAUCUCCUGCAUUCCUGCUGCAGGGAAGGUUUGAGCUUCUGAUGUGGCAAACAGGUAGACUAAGCUAAUUUAUCGCUCAAGUCUUUUAUUCCAUCACAGAGUGGCAAAAGGGAAGGCUCGACUCUCUUGUGGGUCACCUCUAAUGGCAAUUGCUUCAGCAAGAUGGAUUUCAAAAUUAGGUGCUCUCGAAGCAGAAGCCACGCUGUAUUUUUCAACAGCACAAAGCAGCGUAAGAGGAAUCUGACCUUCAUUCUUCAUAAUAAAUUCACUGGGGAAAAGAAAAAUCCAUCUUUGUUUUUCAGCUUGAAGUACUGUCAAAAGAAAAGCCAGGGCACACACAACAUACACAAAAUAAAAAUACAAGACAACUUCAGCAAAAAGAUAAAAAAAUCAGAGAUUUACUUUUCCUGCUUUUCCUUAAAAAUUGGAAUAGAGUCUGACAGCCUGUCUGCAAGUACAUUGUUUUGGAAUAAAAGCUGCUGUUAAUUUAAAGUGGAUCUAUACUAGGCUAAAUUAAGACCACCUCAAAGCAGUUUUCAGAUGUAGAGUGCAAUCGAAUAGCUAAGUCUGGGAAAAAGUUUAUCAAUACACACCCACAUUUCAGCACUCCAUUGGACUUAGCAUGUUUGUAAAACAUCUCUGAAUGCAUUUCAGGUGCUAAAAUAAUGUCUGCUGCAGCCUGCCAAAGGAAAAUGUCACAGCUAUUUUCUGCUGAAGCGCCCCAAAAAGAUGUGAGCUGCAGUCAAAUAUAGACUUGUAAGCUGAAAACUAUAGUGGAGGAAUGCUUGAAAAUAUUUGGUAUUUUACUGUAAUUAAUAAAAUGAUCAGUACAUUUGAGUCCUGAAAGCCUGUAGCUGGUCAGCCGCCACUGGCACAACCUGGAAAUGGUUAAAAUUGUCUCCUGUAUUGAACACUAUCUUUGUAUUUUGCCAUGUCUCCAUUACAGAUUUUGUAUUGAAUAACUCAUAACUAAACGCAGCACCUUGCCUUUAUUCCUUUAAUCUUGUCAGGCAUAGCUGGGAAGGCAGAAUGGGAAUGUUUAUUCUAACUAGCAGGUCUAACCCUUAGGCUAGCAAGAAUUAGAAGAGGUUUUUUCCAAGCUCGGCUCUUCUCCCAUCCAGAGAACCUAACGCUCCUCUUCUGGAGGAGUCACUCAAAUUCAUCUUCCCACUUUCUAGCAAGCCUAGACCCAGCUGUUAUUCAGCCUUUUUUCCUUCAGGAUGGGCUGGUUACACUGAUAAAAGCAACUGUAAAGAGGCUCAGUGUCAGCAGUGCCCUAAUUAAGCUACAGAAAUAAGCCACUUCACACCCCUUAGUUCAGGUUUCCAGGGGCCUGUUUGCCUGGACAGGAACAUUUUGUUAAAUAAGCUCAGCUUUUUGCUAGAGCUGGUGUGAUGACUGAAAGCUCAGCAGAAGGGAUGAACACUGUCCAUACAUUUCAUUAAACUAGCUUAAAAUUACAGAGCAUAUCUAGGUGGUUGCAACUGCAACUCUUUUCAGGACCAACUCGAGAUGAACAACAAUAAAAAUCAGUCUGGCUUAAUUUGGUAUUCAAGUUCUCUCCAGACCAAUCAAUUUUUUGCUGUUCAGAAAAGUCCUUUCUUUACCUCUACAACAAGCAUUUAUGUGAAGGUUAAAGCCGUAGGAGAUGCUUUUUGAUGGUGAUGUCAGUGUUGUCAGUUCCCCUGUAGGGAACCACUACUUAAAUGGUCCCAAUUUCAUCGCUCAUUAUCCCUCUUCUACAGCAAGCACCCACUUUUAAAGAUCACAGGGAAGCAGAUUCAAGCUGAAGUGUCAGCAGUAACUACUGACCUGGAUCAAGGAAUCUUGGAGUGGCCAAGUCUGACCUAUCAGUAAGACUCAUAGUUUUGACCAAGAGGAUUAUUUAAACAUUGGAGCUAGCAGGGGAGCACAGCUGUGGAACAAGGAGGUCCUUUCCAGCAACAACCCUCAGCAGCUCUUCCUUAAAAAGGGGAAUUCAUCUGCCUCUGGCACUCCUCUUCACCAAAGAACACUUCCACUGUUCCAGAACAGUUUUACAGUAGACAAAAGCGAAGGCUUUGGUCCUGAUAUCCACGUGCCAGCUCAGCUGAAUUACAGGCGCGUACCGAGUGCUCCCGAGAAAACCAUAGCCGCUCUGGAGAGCUGGGGAAGCUUUGGAGCAUCUCCCACCCCACCCCAGCCUCGGCAGGGAGAUACAGGGGCUUCUUGUCCUCAGUAAGCAGCAUUGAUAAUUACGUUACCUACCCUCUUCAGCCUCGAGCACGCUCUGUUAGUUACCAGUGCUAAAGUCAAAGGUGAGGCUAAGGCCGUGCCUGGCUGCCAGGGAAGCACUCACUACUCAUCUCAAGUUCAGCUGAAUCCUCUAGGUUACUUCUGCCAACACCAAGCACCGAGAACAAAGGCACAAGAUUAUGGGGAUCUCAUUAAGUAUACUUGUUCCAAGAACAAGAAAUGUGUCUACUUUCUUCUGAUGACCUGGGGAAACAAAAAAACCCUUCAGCACACAAAAUUUAUUUGUCAUCAGUUAAGAGCAUUUGAAUGUGCAAUAUCCAGUUUAAGGAGACAAAAAAGUCUGUCUGUCCUACCCUUUCAAGACCUUGCAAACAGCAUCAUUCUUCUGCUUGAAACAGAAAGCAGGGAUGUAUGUAUCUGAGAACACCAACACACACAAAAACCCCCAAAUCCUUAGGGUAUUAAGUGAGCCAUUUAACUAAGUAUUUAAAACCUCUGCAAUUAUUAGUUUAUUAGUAUCAUCCAGGAUUUCAGAUGUUCAAUAUUUCUCCUGAAGUUAUACAUAAAUGCAAAUUGAAAUAAGAAUCUGAAAGUCAAAAUUGUAUAACAAAACAAUACUCCAUCACAAAAGCGUGUAAAAUUACAAGAAUGCUUUUUUUUGUUUGUUUUUAAACACUGGCACUUAAGAGAACCAUAAUUUUGUAACCACAAAAUUGCCGAAUUGUCCCCCAAACUGGUAAGCAGGUAUAUGUGAAAAUAGUUACAGCUGCCAGCACUUGAAGUUUUACUAAAUAUGCAAAAAACCCCUUUUAGCUUUGGUUUUGGAAGAGAACUGUAUUUGACCAAAUUAGACAUUGUUGGUAAUACCAUAAACAUUUAACUUUUUAAUGCAAAAUUUAAUAAAAUGUACUUUUCCAUACAACUAUAUUUAACUUAAAAAUGGGCAAACAUCAAGAGUGCGGUAUAAAACCUAACAGGAAAAAUACAUCUUAUCUCAUUUUCAAUUUGAGACAAUAUACAACUUUGUUUAAAGGGCUAAAACUAGAAUUUCAAGAAUACAAAUAUGAAUUUACAUAGAUUUAACAAAUAAUAAUGGUACCAUUUAUAGAAAUCUUAGAAAGAAAAAUCAUUUCUUGUGGGCCCUUUGCUACCAGGAGUCUCAUGGUAUUAAGCCCGUGGCCAUCACCAGACCUGUCACCAAAAAAUAAUAUGGUCAUUUCAAUGCUUUUAACUUUACACAUUUUAGGUACGCUCAUCACUCCCAGGUGUUCAGAGAUUUACAAAUAUAACUUCCAUUACAUGGUAACAGAGUCACACGUGUAAAUUUCUCUACACCAGAUGGACAUACACUCUUCCUAUGGGUCCUUCUAGGACAAAAUUUAACAUUCCCUCCCUCCCCACCCCCCCAAAGUAUUUAGUUUCUGUAAAAUUGAACUCUAUACUUCUCAACUCUCCAAGACUGGUAAACUCAUGCAACGCAAUAGAAUAUUACAUUUCACAAAAAUCUGAACAAGUAUCCGUUUGCUGAGAUUGAAUUUUGUUGUUUCCAGUUAUGGAAGAAUAUUUUCAUCAUAUGCCUAUAUAUUUCUUUUCUUACCCUAUCAUGAUAAUGCAGGGUAUGCAGAUCAAAGCUUUGUUUAUCAGCUGGUUAUAUGAAAGAUGAAAACUGUAAUAUUCCCGUGAUCCCAUACGGGCAUUCAAUAAAGCAAAAGAUGAGUUCCCCUCAAAAAAAAAAAAGAAUUAAAAAAAAAAAAAAAAGUAUGAUUCUCAAGGGCACCUAUUAAAAGGACAACAAUACUAAUAAAAAAAAAAUUGUAUUUACUUAGAAGCAUUCAGAAUGUCAACAAAACAGCUGCAACUUUUUUUUCUUCCUUUUUGCAAUUACAGAGUGGUAUUCAGUUAACAGAACAACAAUUAUUUUUAUGAUGCAUCAGAGACAACUGAAGAUGAGAAA